RNAcentral lists this ribosomal RNA (732 nucleotides) under uncultured fungus. RNAcentral's name for it is "eukaryotic LSU rRNA". The stretch from base 214 to 368 matches the Rfam family "5.8S ribosomal RNA". Lineage: Eukaryota; Fungi. The record is from RNAcentral.
GGAAGGAUCAUUACCGAACUGUCGACAUGAGUUGCUGCUGGCCCACAAAUGGGGGCAUGUGCACACUCUGUUUACACAUCCACACACACCUGUGCACGCUCUGUAGUUCUGUGGCCUGGGGGACUCUGUCCUCUUGCUGUGGUUCUAUGUCUUUACACACACACUGUAAUAAAGUCUCAUGGAAUGCAUGUCGCGUUUAACGCAAUACAAUACAACUUUCAGCAACGGAUCUCUUGGCUCUCGCAUCGAUGAAGAACGCAGCGAAAUGCGAUAAGUAAUGUGAAUUGCAGAAUUCAGUGAAUCAUCGAAUCUUUGAACGCACCUUGCGCCCUUUGGCUAUUCCGAAGGGCAUGCCUGUUUGAGUAUCAUGAACACCUCAACUCUCAUGGUUUGCCAUGAUGAGCUUGGACUUUGGGGGUCUUGCUGGCCUGUGGUCGGCUCCUCUCAAAUUAAUCAGCUUGCCAGUGUUUGGUGGCAUCACAGGUGUGAUAACUAUCUACGCUUGUGGUUUUCCACCAGGUAACCUUCAGUGAUGGAGGUUCGCUGGAGCUCAUAAAUGUCUCUCCUCAGUGAGGACAGCUUUUUAAACGUUUUGAUCUCAAAUCAGGCAGGACUACCCGCUGAACUUAAGCAUAUCAAUAAGCGGAGGAAAAGAAACUAACAAGGAUUCCCCUAGUAACUGCGAGUGAAGCGGGAAGAGCUCAAAUUUAAAAUCUGGCGUGCCUCUGGUCG